This 490-nucleotide ribosomal RNA is filed under the name uncultured bacterium. RNAcentral's name for it is "partial 16S ribosomal RNA". It matches the Rfam family "Bacterial small subunit ribosomal RNA", at positions 30 to 507 of the family's 1533-position model. The record is from RNAcentral.
AUUGAACGCUGGCGGCAGGCCUAACACAUGCAAGUCGAAUGGUAACAGGAAACAGCUUGCUGUUUCGCUGACGAGUGGCGGACGGGUGAGUAAUGUCUGGGAAACUGCCUGAUGGAGGGGGAUAACUACUGGAAACGGUAGCUAAUACCGCAUAACGUCGCAAGACCAAAGAGGGGGACCUUCGGGCCUCUUGCCAUCAGAUGUGCCCAGAUGGGAUUAGCUAGUAGGUGGGGUAACGGCUCACCUAGGCGACGAUCCCUAGCUGGUCUGAGAGGAUGACCAGCCACACUGGAACUGAGACACGGUCCAGACUCCUACGGGAGGCAGCAGUGGGGAAUAUUGCACAAUGGGCGCAAGCCUGAUGCAGCCAUGCCGCGUGUAUGAAGAAGGCCUUCGGGUUGUAAAGUACUUUCAGCGGGGAGGAAGGGAGUAAAGUUAAUACCUUUGCACAUUGACGUUACCCGCAGAAGAAGCACCGGCUAACUCCGUG